GUGAGGAAUUUUCCGCAAUGGGCGAAAGCCUGACGGAGCAAUGCCGCGUGAAGGAUGAAGGCCUAUGGGUUGUAAACUUCUUUUCUCAGAAAAGAAUUAUGACGGUAUCUGAGGAAUAAGCAUCGGCUAACUCUGUGCCAGCAGCCGCGGUAAGACAGAGGAUGCAAGCGUUAUCCGGAGUGAUUGGGCGUAAAGCGUCUGUAGGUUGUUUAAAAAGUAUUCUGUCAAAGAUUAGGGCUUAACCCUAGAUAGGCAGAAUAAACUUUUAAGCUAGAGUUUGGUAGAGGCAGAGGGAAUUCCCGGUGGAGCGGUGAAAUGCGUAGAUAUCGGGAGGAACACCAAAGGCGAAGGCACUCUGCUGGGCCAAUACUAACACUGAGAGACGAAAGCGAGGGGAGCAAAUGGGAUUAGAUACCGAGUAGUCC
Molecule: ribosomal RNA, 425 nt
Filed under: uncultured bacterium
Lineage: Bacteria
Description: partial 16S ribosomal RNA
Rfam family: Bacterial small subunit ribosomal RNA
Source: RNAcentral